CCCUUAGAUGUUCUGGGCCGCACGCGCGCUGCACUGAUGCAUUCAACGAGUCUAAAACCUGCUCUGAUAGGGGUGGGUAAUCUUUUGAAUGUGCAUCGUGAUUGGGAUAGAUGAUUGAAAUUUUUCAUCUUCAACGAGGAAUGCCUAGUAAACGCAAGUCAUCAGCUUGCAUUGAUUACGUCCCUGCCCUUUGUACACACCGCCCGUCGCUCCUACCGAUUGAAUGAUCCGAUGAAUAUCAUGGAUUGAGGAUGCAAGUAGGUUCACCUAUCUUCAUCUUCGAGAAGUGAAGUAAAUCUUAUCAUUUAGAGGAAGGAGAAGUCGUAACA
Molecule: ribosomal RNA, 329 nt
Filed under: uncultured eukaryote
Lineage: Eukaryota
Description: partial 18S ribosomal RNA
Rfam family: Eukaryotic small subunit ribosomal RNA
Source: RNAcentral